ACAGCAGUCGCCGCGGUAAUACAGAGGGUGCGAGCGUUAAUCGGAUUUACUGGGCGUAAAGCGUGCGUAGGCGGCUUCUUAAGUCGGAUGUGAAAUCCCUGAGCUUGACUUAGGAAUUGCAUUCGAUACUGGGAAGCUAGAGUAUGGGAGAGGAUGGUAGAAUUCCAGGUGUAGCGGUGAAAUGCGUAGAGAUCUGGAGGAAUACCGAUGGCGAAGGCAGCCAUCUGGCCUAAUACUGACGCUGAGGUACGAAAGCAUGGGGAGCAAACAGGAUUAGAUACCCCCGUAGUCCCUGUCUCUUAUAA
Molecule: ribosomal RNA, 305 nt
Filed under: uncultured bacterium
Lineage: Bacteria
Description: partial 16S ribosomal RNA
Rfam family: Bacterial small subunit ribosomal RNA
Source: RNAcentral